UACGAAGGUCCCAAGCGUUAUCCGGAUUUAUUGGGCUUAAAGGGUGCGUAGGUGGGUUGGUAAGUCAGUGGUGAAAUCUCCAGGCUUAACUUGGAAACUGCCAUUGAUACUAUCAAUCUUGAAUACCGUGGAGGUCAGCGGAAUAUGUCAUGUAGCGGUGAAAUGCUUAGAUAUGACAUAGAACACCAAUUGCGAAGGCAGCUGGCUGCGCGAAUAUUGACACUGAUGCACGAAAGCGUGGGGAUCAAACAGG
Molecule: ribosomal RNA, 253 nt
Filed under: uncultured bacterium
Lineage: Bacteria
Description: partial 16S ribosomal RNA
Rfam family: Bacterial small subunit ribosomal RNA
Source: RNAcentral